Molecule: ribosomal RNA, 1153 nt
Filed under: Escherichia coli
Lineage: Bacteria; Pseudomonadati; Pseudomonadota; Gammaproteobacteria; Enterobacterales; Enterobacteriaceae
Description: partial 23S ribosomal RNA
Rfam family: Bacterial large subunit ribosomal RNA
Source: RNAcentral
CAUGCUGUGAGCUCGAUGAGUAGGGCGGGACACGUGGUAUCCUGUCUGAAUAUGGGGGGACCAUCCUCCAAGGCUAAAUACUCCUGACUGACCGAUAGUGAACCAGUACCGUGAGGGAAAGGCGAAAAGAACCCCGGCGAGGGGAGUGAAAAAGAACCUGAAACCGUGUACGUACAAGCAGUGGGAGCACGCUUAGGCGUGUGACUGCGUACCUUUUGUAUAAUGGGUCAGCGACUUAUAUUCUGUAGCAAGGUUAACCGAAUAGGGGAGCCGAAGGGAAACCGAGUCUUAACUGGGCGUUAAGUUGCAGGGUAUAGACCCGAAACCCGGUGAUCUAGCCAUGGGCAGGUUGAAGGUUGGGUAACACUAACUGGAGGACCGAACCGACUAAUGUUGAAAAAUUAGCGGAUGACUUGUGGCUGGGGGUGAAAGGCCAAUCAAACCGGGAGAUAGCUGGUUCUCCCCGAAAGCUAUUUAGGUAGCGCCUCGUGAAUUCAUCUCCGGGGGUAGAGCACUGUUUCGGCAAGGGGGUCAUCCCGACUUACCAACCCGAUGCAAACUGCGAAUACCGGAGAAUGUUAUCACGGGAGACACACGGCGGGUGCUAACGUCCGUCGUGAAGAGGGAAACAACCCAGACCGCCAGCUAAGGUCCCAAAGUCAUGGUUAAGUGGGAAACGAUGUGGGAAGGCCCAGACAGCCAGGAUGUUGGCUUAGAAGCAGCCAUCAUUUAAAGAAAGCGUAAUAGCUCACUGGUCGAGUCGGCCUGCGCGGAAGAUGUAACGGGGCUAAACCAUGCACCGAAGCUGCGGCAGCGACGCUUAUGCGUUGUUGGGUAGGGGAGCGUUCUGUAAGCCUGUGAAGGUGUGCUGUGAGGCAUGCUGGAGGUAUCAGAAGUGCGAAUGCUGACAUAAGUAACGAUAAAGCGGGUGAAAAGCCCGCUCGCCGGAAGACCAAGGGUUCCUGUCCAACGUUAAUCGGGGCAGGGUGAGUCGACCCCUAAGGCGAGGCCGAAAGGCGUAGUCGAUGGGAAACAGGUUAAUAUUCCUGUACUUGGUGUUACUGCGAAGGGGGGACGGAGAAGGCUAUGUUGGCCGGGCGACGGUUGUCCCGGUUUAAGCGUGUAGGCUGGUUUUCCAGGCAAAUCCGGAAAA